Molecule: small nuclear RNA, 109 nt
Organism: Condylostylus longicornis
Lineage: Eukaryota; Metazoa; Arthropoda; Insecta; Diptera; Dolichopodidae
Product: U5 spliceosomal RNA
Exons: 1
Source: RefSeq, a predicted model, not a curated record
AUAUUCUGCAACCUCAACAAAGCAUACGAUCCUUUCGCCUUUUUCUAAAGAGUCAUGUGUAGAGAUUGCGCCGAAAUCUUGAAUUUGUUUGAGGACAAUUCGUUGUCCA